AACAUUGGCAGAACCUAACAACCUCCACGUUUAAUAAUGGAAAUUUGGAUCCCAGUUGUGGUUGUAAGUCGAAGGUUACCUGUACAGUGUCUCUGUUUUUCCCAAUGCAAUUGUUCCUCCCAAUACAUACCAUUACAUUAAUUUCCCAUCAGAUUACAACUAUCUUUCCACUUCUCUUCCUACUCUACAGAGUGCCAAUUUUGGCAUCUCCUGUAUGCUGUUCUUGUUCAGCGUGCUGGAAUUUUGCAUCGCUGUUUCCAUGGCUCACUUUGGGUGCCAGGCAGCUUGCUGUAUUGCCCAGCUUGCCCAGCCACCCAUGGUUUUUGUGCCUUACCAAGUCAUCAGAGGUGGAGCAGUUGCAGCUGAACCAAAUCCUCCUCUUCCUCAUCCUCCACCGACUUACGAUAACAUGGAUAUCAAAUCUCAGUAAAACAAGAAGGAAGUAUGAGAAUUGUUGGCAAAAGAGGUUUCAGGAGAAGCAAUGCAUUUCAUUUUACUUUAUUUCUUGGUCCAGCUUGCUUGUUUCCUUUUCAAUUACAGCUUUUAAACACCAAAUUAAAUGCUGGCAAGUUUUAAAAGUUCUUCUAUUUUACUAAAUAAUUAUUUCCUAGAAUCAAGAAUUUGUGCUACAAAUCAUCAGCAUAUUUAUGAAAAAGUACUGUACACUCCUUACAAUGGAUGAUGGAGGCUGUUUAUUUUGUUUAUACUCUAGAUGACGUUUGUUUUUUUGUGACAAAUAUGGAAUUAAGUACGAGGUCUGAUGCUGCAGAAAAGAAAAAUGGCUACCAAAUUAAAACACAGAUUAUUUAUAAAACACAUCAUUGACACAAUACAGAUAGUUCUUGACUUACGAUUGCAGUUUGGACCAGAACGUCCAUUGCUAAGUGAAGCAGUUUAAGUGAAUUGUGCCCGAUUUAUGACAAUUUUUGCCACUGUUGUUAAGUGAAUUACUCUGGUUGUUUAGUGAUUCACAUGGUCCUUAAGUGAAUCUGUUUUCCCACAUUUGACUUUUUAAAAUCCAGCUGGGAAGGUCAUAAACAGCAAUCCCUGAUUCUGGCAUGCCAGAACUGUCCUAAGAACAGGCAGGUUGCCAAGCAUCUUGAGUUCUGAUCACGUGACCAUGGGGAUGCGGCUACGUGUGAGGACUGGUCUUGAGUCACUUUUUUCAGUUCUGUUGUAAAUUUGAAUGGUCACCAGUUGUAAGUUGAGAACUUCCUGUAGUAGCAGUUGCAUAAUCUCUGUGAUCGCAAAACAGAUUAGAAGAAGUUUGUAUAUAGCUGAAAUAUUCCAUAUUGUUUGGGUACUUAAAUUGAUCAAAACCACAUUUUUUUUUACUGUCCAUAAGUCCAUUCAUUAUCUGCCUCCUGGAAGAUUUCUCAAUUGUGCAAACAUGCAAUUUCUAAAUCAAAGCCAUUCCUAUUUUUAGGGAGGGUAUACUUGGGUGGGGGGCAAUUAUGGCCCCUUUAUGACCUGUGAACGUCAACUCUCAGAAUUCUUGAGCCUUCAUGACUGACUCAGGAACAUAGCAAAGAUUCAGAUUCAUUGCUUCCCUGUCCAUAAUUACAUGGUGAAAAGUUUGACUCCUGCAAUGAUUUUAGAGGUGUACAAUCUGUACAUUUGCACAGGCUUUGAGGCUCAAGCUGAUAGGCAAUAUCCUGAAUAUAAUCUAGCUCAGUUAAAAUGAUGUCACUCUUAUUUCUUUUCUUUGAUGAGCUGAUUCCCUGUUCAAGCAGCAGGAGGCCAUGGUGGGCGCUCCGCCCCCACAUGCAGCCCAUUGAAAAAGAGAUAGGGGUUUGGACAGAUACCCUGGAGGCUUGGCAAUAUAAGAGGAUAGAGAUGGGAGGAAUACUUAGACUAAAGAGUAAAAAUGCAGAGGUAUAUAGAGACAAAGAUCCAAGAGAGCAGUAUGGGAGGUAUGCCAAAACACAAAUAAGA
Thamnophis elegans (Western terrestrial garter snake) is the source of this 1935-nucleotide long non-coding RNA. RefSeq lists it as uncharacterized. Lineage: Eukaryota; Metazoa; Chordata; Lepidosauria; Squamata; Natricidae. The record is from RefSeq and is a predicted model, not a curated record. The transcript has 2 exons.